CGCAGCGACGCCGCGUGCGGGAAGAAGGCCUUCGGGUUGUAAACCGCUUUCAGGAGGGACGAAGCCACUCGGGUGAACAGCCCAGAGGGUGACGGUACCUCCAGAAGAAGCCCCGGCUAACUACGUGCCAGCAGCCGCGGUAAUACGUAGGGGGCUAGCGUUGUCCGGAUUCAUUGGGCGUAAAGCGCGUGUAGGCGGCCAGAUAGGUCUGCUGUGAAAACUCGAGGCUCAACCUCGAGCCGUCGGCGGAAACCAUCUGGCUAGAGUCCGGAAGAGGAGAGUGGAAUUCCCGGUGUAGCGGUGAAAUGCGCAGAUAUCGGGAAGAACACCUGUGGCGAAGGCGGCUCUCUGGGACGGUACUGACGCUGAGACGCGAAAGCGUGGGGAGCAAACAGGAUUAGAUACCCUGGUAGUCCACGCCGUAAACGAUGGGUGCUAGGUGUGGGGAGUGUCGACUCUCUCCGUGCCGAAGCUAACGCAUUAAGCACCCCGCCUGGGGAGUACGGCCGCAAGGCUA
This 517-nucleotide ribosomal RNA is filed under the name uncultured Actinomycetes bacterium. Its description in RNAcentral is "bacterial SSU rRNA". It matches the Rfam family "Bacterial small subunit ribosomal RNA", at positions 387 to 896 of the family's 1533-position model. The record is from RNAcentral. Lineage: Bacteria; Bacillati; Actinomycetota; Actinomycetes.